This 353-nucleotide ribosomal RNA is filed under the name uncultured Pseudomonas sp. RNAcentral's name for it is "bacterial SSU rRNA". It matches the Rfam family "Bacterial small subunit ribosomal RNA", at positions 1028 to 1382 of the family's 1533-position model. The record is from RNAcentral. Lineage: Bacteria; Pseudomonadati; Pseudomonadota; Gammaproteobacteria; Pseudomonadales; Pseudomonadaceae.
UCUGACACAGGUGCUGCAUGGCUGUCGUCAGCUCGUGUCGUGAGAUGUUGGGUUAAGUCCGUAACGAGCGCAACCCUUGUCCUUAGUUACCAGCACGUUAUGGUGGGCACUCUAAGGAGACUGCCGGUGACAAACCGGAGGAAGCGGGGAUGACGUCAAGUCAUCAUGGCCCUUACGGCCUGGGCUACACACGUGCUACAAUGGUCGGUACAAAGGGUUGCCAAGCCGCGAGGUGGAGCUAAUCCCAUAAAACCGAUCGUAGUCCGGAUCGCAGUCUGCAACUCGACUGCGUGAAGUCGGAAUCGCUAGUAAUCGUGAAUCAGAAUGUCACGGUGAAUACGUUCCCGGGCCUU